UACGUAGGGACCAAGCGUUGUUCGGAUUUACUGGGCGUAAAGGGCGCGUAGGCGGCUUGACAAGUCACUUGUGAAAUCUCCGGGCUUAACUCAGAACGGCCAAGUGAAACUGUCAUGCUAGAGUGCAGAAGGGGCAAUCGGAAUUCUUGGUGUAGCGGUGAAAUGCGUAGAUAUCAAGAGGAACACCUGAGGUGAAGACGGGUUGCUGGGCUGACACUGACGCUGAGGCGCGAAAGCCAGGGGAGCAAACGGG
This 253-nucleotide ribosomal RNA is filed under the name uncultured bacterium. RNAcentral describes it as "partial 16S ribosomal RNA". It matches the Rfam family "Bacterial small subunit ribosomal RNA", at positions 524 to 776 of the family's 1533-position model. The record is from RNAcentral.